This 253-nucleotide ribosomal RNA is filed under the name uncultured bacterium. Its description in RNAcentral is "partial 16S ribosomal RNA". It matches the Rfam family "Bacterial small subunit ribosomal RNA", at positions 524 to 776 of the family's 1533-position model. The record is from RNAcentral.
UACAGAGGGGGCAAGCGUUGCUCGGAAUUACUGGGCGUAAAGGGCGCGUAGGCGGUCUGUUUAGUCAGAGGUGAAAGCCCAGGGCUCAACCUUGGAAUUGCCUUUGAUACUGGCUGUCUUGAGUUCGGGAGAGGUGAGUGGAAUGCCGAGUGUAGAGGUGAAAUUCGUAGAUAUUCGGCGGAACACCAGUGGCGAAGGCGACUCACUGGCCCGAUACUGACGCUGAGGCACGAAAGCGUGGGGAGCAAACAGG